This 793-nucleotide long non-coding RNA is filed under the name Citrus maxima (pomelo). Its description in RNAcentral is "long non-coding RNA (CMAX_LNC002159)". The record is from RNAcentral. Lineage: Eukaryota; Viridiplantae; Streptophyta; Magnoliopsida; Sapindales; Rutaceae.
CAAUGUAAAGGCUUCAAGGAAGACCUUCGAGGUGCCAUAGCUGUAGCUCGAGUAAGUCCACGACCUUUUGGAGGUGGAGGUGCUGAAGCAGUAGGUCCUUUAGCACCUAAAGGUGGUGGCGGAGGUGGUGCACCACCCGGUGGUCUAGGUGGAGCACGAGCUCCUGGUGGUGGAGGCGGAGCUGGAGCUCCACGCAGUGGAGGAGGUGGGGGAGGUGGCCCCCCACCAGCAGGAGGAGGUGGAGGUGGUGGGGGAGGUGGCCCCCCACCAGCAGGAGGAGGUGGAGGUGGUGGGGCUCCACGCAUUGGAGGAGGUGGCGGUGGUGGUGCCCCACGCUCUGGAGGAGGUGGCGGAGGAGGGGCACCGUGUGUUGGUGGAGGUGGUGGUGGAGGCGGUAUUCCAUGAAUUAAGGGAGGCGGUGGAGUUGGAGCUCUAAUUGUUGGUGGUGGAGGUGGAGGUGGAGUUCCUUGUAAAGGGGGUGGGGGUGGAGCUCUAUGCAUAGGAGGUGGUGGAGAAGGAGCUCCAAGCUUGGGAGGGGAGGGGAGGGGGAGGUGGUGGAGGUGGAGGCGGAGUAGGAAUCCCAACUCCUAUAGGUUUUGAUGCACCGGUAAAAGGCGGUGGUUGGGAAGGGGGCGAAGGAAUUGACAAUUUAGCUGGAGCAACCACAACAUUCCCAGAAUUCCAAGGGGGAGGUGGUGGCGGAGGUGGUAAAACAAUCCCACUAUUCUGUCGACUAGAUGAAGAGGGAAUUGGAGGGGGAGGAGGUGGGGGUGGUGGCGGUCCACGGUUCAAG